CCUACGGGAGGCUGCAGUGGGGAAUAUUGGACAAUGGGGGGAACCCUGAUCCAGCGACGCCGCGUGAGUGAAGAAGUAUUUCGGUAUGUAAAGCUCUAUCAGCAGGGAAGAAAGAAAUGACGGUACCUGACUAAGAAGCCCCGGCUAACUACGUGCCAGCAGCCGCGGUAAUACGUAGGGGGCAAGCGUUAUCCGGAUUUACUGGGUGUAAAGGGAGCGUAGACGGCGAUGCAAGUCUGAAGUGAAAGGCGGGGGCCCAACCCCCGGACUGCUUUGGAAACUGUAUGGCUGGAGUGCGGGAGGGGCAGGCGGAAUUCCUGGUGUAGCGGUGAAAUGCGUAGAUAUCAGGAGGAACACCGGCGGCGAAGGCGGCCUGCUGGACUGCGACUGACGUUGAGGCUCGAAAGCGUGGGGAGCGAACAGGAUUAGAUACCCUAGUAGUC
Molecule: ribosomal RNA, 443 nt
Filed under: uncultured bacterium
Lineage: Bacteria
Description: partial 16S ribosomal RNA
Rfam family: Bacterial small subunit ribosomal RNA
Source: RNAcentral